ACUUCACUAACCGAGCUACUGGAGGUUCCUUGAUGGUGAAGUUGAACGAGAGGAGGUCUCUUCCCGUAUCCUUGAGAUUUAAGGCAUGCGUCUUGCCGGUUAGUAAGGCUGAUGAUGAUACUGGUGAUGAUGAGAGUUUAAUAACGGUAUAUAUUACCAUCAUGGAAAAACAGAGCGGUCUCGGGGUCCUUGCAGACCAAGAGAGCUGUCUCUACCUCCGCCUUUAACAGGGCACUUGUAUACCUUCGAAAUAGAAGCAAAUGUGACUUCCACCGAGCUUACCUUUGAGUUCAGUGUCCACCGUGAAAACUGGGAGAUAGGAGAAUGCGGGGUAUUCGAGCUCAUGGAGGCCCCUCGUGUUCAUGAACACGAUGUAUCCUCAGACAGCGACAUCGGAGGCAACCACUAAACUGAAGAUUAUGGCAAGCAGCUGGAGACCAAAACAAGUAAACAUUCUUCUGUCUGGUGCUUGUAAAGAUGAUGAUGACAGACAGGUGUAGAGCAAGAGAGGGAGCUGGCAGGAUCCGCCGACCUGUAUAGAGAACGUAAACAAAACAGUCCGUGAGAAGUUCUAUUUUAGCUUUACACUUUCAGUUUUCAUCGAUUGUAUUCAAUUUAAACUGAGAACAAAGUGCUAUUGGCUAAUAGUAAGCUGACAAGUGAAUAGACAUAUUAAAGAGACUACUAUAUUAUGACUAAAUAUCUGAGAACAACAAGGAAUUAUCAAAAGAA
Long non-coding RNA from Brassica napus (rape), 732 nucleotides. RefSeq lists it as uncharacterized. The record is from RefSeq and is a predicted model, not a curated record. The transcript is spliced from 2 exons. NCBI's taxonomy places the organism in Eukaryota, Viridiplantae, Streptophyta, Magnoliopsida, Brassicales, Brassicaceae.